GAAAAAGAACCUGAAACCGUGUACGUACAAGCAGUGGGAGCCUCUUUUAUGGGGUGACUGCGUACCUUUUGUAUAAUGGGUCAGCGACUUAUAUUCUGUAGCAAGGUUAACCGAAUAGGGGAGCCGAAGGGAAACCGAGUCUUAACUGGGCGUUAAGUUGCAGGGUAUAGACCCGAAACCCGGUGAUCUAGCCAUGGGCAGGUUGAAGGUUGGGUAACACUAACUGGAGGACCGAACCGACUAAUGUUGAAAAAUUAGCGGAUGACUUGUGGCUGGGGGUGAAAGGCCAAUCAAACCGGGAGAUAGCUGGUUCUCCCCGAAAGCUAUUUAGGUAGCGCCUCGUGAAUUCAUCUCCGGGGGUAGAGCACUGUUUCGGCAAGGGGGUCAUCCCGACUUACCAACCCGAUGCAAACUGCGAAUACCGGAGAAUGUUAUCACGGGAGACACACGGCGGGUGCUAACGUCCGUCGUGAAGAGGGAAACAACCCAGACCGCCAGCUAAGGUCCCAAAGUCAUGGUUAAGUGGGAAACGAUGUGGGAAGGCCCAGACAGCCAGGAUGUUGGCUUAGAAGCAGCCAUCAUUUAAAGAAAGCGUAAUAGCUCACUGGUCGAGUCGGCCUGCGCGGAAGAUGUAACGGGGCUAAACCAUGCACCGAAGCUGCGGCAGCGACACUAUGUGUUGUUGGGUAGGGGAGCGUUCUGUAAGCCUGUGAAGGUGUACUGUGAGGUAUGCUGGAGGUAUCAGAAGUGCGAAUGCUGACAUAAGUAACGAUAAAGCGGGUGAAAAGCCCGCUCGCCGGAAGACCAAGGGUUCCUGUCCAACGUUAAUCGGGGCAGGGUGAGUCGACCCCUAAGGCGAGGCCGAAAGGCGUAGUCGAUGGGAAACAGGUUAAUAUUCCUGUACUUGGUGUUACUGCGAAGGGGGGACGGAGAAGGCUAUGUUGGCCGGGCGACGGUUGUCCCGGUUUAAGCGUGUAGGCUGGUUUUCCAGGCAAAUCCGGAAAAU
This 1006-nucleotide ribosomal RNA is filed under the name Escherichia coli. Its description in RNAcentral is "partial 23S ribosomal RNA". It matches the Rfam family "Bacterial large subunit ribosomal RNA", at positions 540 to 1550 of the family's 2925-position model. Lineage: Bacteria; Pseudomonadati; Pseudomonadota; Gammaproteobacteria; Enterobacterales; Enterobacteriaceae. The record is from RNAcentral.